RNAcentral lists this ribosomal RNA (253 nucleotides) under uncultured bacterium. RNAcentral's name for it is "partial 16S ribosomal RNA". It matches the Rfam family "Bacterial small subunit ribosomal RNA", at positions 524 to 776 of the family's 1533-position model. The record is from RNAcentral.
UACGUAGGGCGCAAGCGUUGUCCGGAAUUAUUGGGCGUAAAGGGCUCGUAGGCGGUUUGUCGCGUCGGGAGUGAAAACCCAGGGCUUAACCCUGGGCUGGCUUCCGAUACGGGCAGACUAGAGGUAUGCAGGGGAGAACGGAAUUCCUGGUGUAGCGGUGAAAUGCGCAGAUAUCAGGAGGAACACCGGUGGCGAAGGCGGUUCUCUGGGCAUUACCUGACGCUGAGGAGCGAAAGCGUGGGGAGCGAACAGG